RNAcentral lists this long non-coding RNA (910 nucleotides) under Ananas comosus (pineapple). RNAcentral describes it as "long non-coding RNA (ACOM_LNC041979)". Lineage: Eukaryota; Viridiplantae; Streptophyta; Magnoliopsida; Poales; Bromeliaceae. The record is from RNAcentral.
ACGUCUAAGAAAUAAUUCAUACUGAUAUUUAUGAACCAUUCCCUAUGGCUUCCUGAAAUGGUCAACUGUCACGCGCCGGGGUCCUUUUGAAGUUUUAAAAUCGAUGCGGAAGUGCCCAAUUUUUUUUUUUUUUUUUGAAAACCUUGACCCCAGGGGAUGUCAGAUCCGCCACAAAUACAGGAACCCACUGUUCACACGACAGAGUCUCUCCUGUAGUUGCACAGCAUCGCACAAAUAGAAGAUACAACCACAAUGUAUAACCAUACACAUACAAUCACCACAUCGCAUAUACCAUUUUACAUUCAUUCAAUCACCAGUUUAUCAUAUUUUCAUCAUAAAUCUACAUUUAUUAGUUUAAAAUAUUUUCCACUCGAAAACUUAUUUUGAAAUACCAAGAAUCAUGAAAACCAAAAAACUCUUUUUAAAACCGUUUCCCAUACGGAAAUCUUUUUUUAAAAAAACAAGUUACCAUGAGGGGUAGAAAACCAUUUUCAUAAUCUCACAAAAAAAUCAUAAGCACUUUAUUAAUUUCACAAAACCACAAGUAUCCAAAUAAAAUAGAACCAACUGAAUCAUAAUUAUCUAAGUUACUUUAUUCGGGGAAACAGAUCAGGAAUUAACCGUAAAUCACCGGGCCGAAAUUGUCACGCCCCGCUAUCGCCAAUUUGGUCGAUCCGGGCCCGUACACAGACGCCUAACGGACAGCACCUCCCCUGUCCGCCCAAGGCUCAACAACAACGAGUACAUGUAUAAAGAAAUAAAUAAUUCUCAGGAUAGCAUUUCAAUAUACAUGGCUUGCACGAGGGCAAGCAACAAUAACAAGUGAAAGUAAACUAACUAAACAUGCAUUUACUAUAUUUUCAUGCAAAACUUUAAACCAAAACCAAUCAAGCAGAUAAUUAUAACUUUA